RNAcentral lists this ribosomal RNA (433 nucleotides) under uncultured bacterium. Its description in RNAcentral is "bacterial SSU rRNA". It matches the Rfam family "Bacterial small subunit ribosomal RNA", at positions 43 to 524 of the family's 1533-position model. The record is from RNAcentral.
CAGGCCUAACACAUGCAAGUCGAACGCCCCGCAAGGGGAGCGGCAGACGGGUGAGUAACACGUGGGAACGUACCCUUUGGUUCGGAACAACCCUGGGAAACUAGGGCUAAUACCGGAUACGCGCGAGAGCGGAAAGGUUUACCGCCGAAGGAUCGGCCCGCGUCUGAUUAGCUAGUUGGUGAGGUAACGGCUCACCAAGGCGACGAUCAGUAGCUGGUCUGAGAGGAUGAUCAGCCACAUUGGGACUGAGACACGGCCCAAACUCCUACGGGAGGCAGCAGUGGGGAAUAUUGGACAAUGGGCGCAAGCCUGAUCCAGCCAUGCCGCGUGAGUGAUGACGGCCCUAGGGUUGUAAAGCUCUUUUACCUGGGAAGAUAAUGACGGUACCAGGAGAAUAAGCCCCGGCUAACUUCGUGCCAGCAGCCGCGGUAAU